AUCCCAGUUCGGAUCGCAGGCUGCAACCCGCCUGCGUGAAGUUGGAAUCGCUAGUAAUCGCGGAUCAGCAUGCCGCGGUGAAUACGUUCCCGGGCCUUGUACACACCGCCCGUCACACCAUGAGAGUCGGAACACCGAGUCCGUAGUCUAACCGCGAAGGGGACGCGGCCGAAGGUGGGUUCGAUAAUUGGGGUGAAGUCGUAACAAGGUACC
RNAcentral lists this ribosomal RNA (213 nucleotides) under uncultured bacterium. RNAcentral's name for it is "partial 16S ribosomal RNA". It matches the Rfam family "Bacterial small subunit ribosomal RNA", at positions 1285 to 1500 of the family's 1533-position model. The record is from RNAcentral.